GGGGACGCGCGGGUUCGACAGGGGAUGUCUUCGCAGGAUUGCAGGCCGAGGCGCCAUCACACCUCGUAAAAAGAUGGCAAAACAAUAACUGGCAAGCAAGAGCUAGCCCUAGCCGCCUAACGGCGGCUACGUCCACCGCUCACUCUCCUCGAAGAGAGCGACUGGGCGCCAUUAAUCGAGGUGCGGUCUAACCGACGCCGAUGGGGGACGACCAAAGACUUAUCGGCUGGCUCCUGUGCAAUCCUUCGCUGGUAAAGGUGCAAACGGGAGCGAGACUCUAAGUACCAGCUAAGCCUGUAGCAUAUCCUGACCGGGGUGUCUUCUGGACGGGGAGUUCGACCCUCCCCCGUCUCCACCA
This 358-nucleotide transfer-messenger RNA is filed under the name SAR202 cluster bacterium. It matches the Rfam family "transfer-messenger RNA". Rfam says of the family: Bacterial tmRNA, also known as 10Sa RNA or SsrA, is named for its dual tRNA and mRNA-like properties. Its role is to liberate the mRNA from a stalled ribosome. To accomplish this part of the tmRNA is used as a reading frame that ends in a translation stop signal. Lineage: Bacteria; Bacillati; Chloroflexota; Dehalococcoidia. The record is from RNAcentral.